CAAGAGAUGAGAUGAUGAAGACUUCAAAAGAUGAGUCUCCUCCAGGAUUCUCUUCUAGUACAACAAAAUACAAAAAGAAUCCUGCUAGAAUGUCUGAAAAGAAAUACUUCAACAGAAGCAAUGGAUCUUCCUAUGUUAAUGGUGUAUCUGACUAUGGAGAGUUUGCAAGUGAUAGAGAAAUCAAAAGACGCUUAUCCAAGUUGAGGUUGAAAUCCUUAGAUUCAGGGAG
Molecule: unclassified non-coding RNA, 229 nt
Filed under: Hevea brasiliensis (rubber tree)
Lineage: Eukaryota; Viridiplantae; Streptophyta; Magnoliopsida; Malpighiales; Euphorbiaceae
Source: RNAcentral